GUAGUGGCUCAGUGGUACAGCCCCUGCUUCGCAUGCGGGGAGACCUGGGUUCGAUUCCCGGCUGC
This 65-nucleotide transfer RNA is filed under the name Toxocara canis (dog roundworm). It matches the Rfam family "tRNA". Rfam says of the family: Transfer RNA (tRNA) molecules are approximately 80 nucleotides in length. The record is from Rfam by way of RNAcentral. Lineage: Eukaryota; Metazoa; Nematoda; Chromadorea; Rhabditida; Toxocaridae.